GCCUACAGCCAUACCUCCUCAAGCUAUGAUCUCUCUAAACUAAUCAAGGUUGGGCCUGGUUCAUAUUUGGAUGAGACACGUCCAAGUGAAACCUGGGUUGUUGCAAGAA
Ribosomal RNA from Chelonoidis abingdonii (Abingdon island giant tortoise), 109 nucleotides. NCBI's taxonomy places the organism in Eukaryota, Metazoa, Chordata, Testudines, Testudinidae. The record is from Ensembl.